Molecule: long non-coding RNA, 2625 nt
Filed under: Phascolarctos cinereus (koala)
Lineage: Eukaryota; Metazoa; Chordata; Mammalia; Diprotodontia; Phascolarctidae
Description: lncRNA (ENSPCIG00000034106.1)
Source: RNAcentral
AGAUUCUUUUGGGAGAUUUUCUGGGAGAAUUGGUCUGACAGCUAUUCUGUGUCCCUCUAGAUCACAUGGAUGUGUUAAGGAAGAUAUUUUGGGUAGCCACGUGGACAUGCCAGGGAAAUUUGCAUUUUCUAGGUCUAGGGAAGCAUACGUGGUAGAGACAGACUAUAAGACUUAUGCCAUAGUGAAUGUUUCCAUGUUAAAGAACGGGAUGACACUUAGUGCCUUGAAGUUUUUCAGUACGUGCUGGGACCACAGAGCUGGAGUCAGAGGGGAUUGUGACCACAUUGGAAACACAGCAGAUAUGGGAGAUCUGAGAAAAACUGAUGGAAAAGCAGAAUGAUCAGUCUGUCCUCAAUGAGGCUAAGCCUCCACUUGGUCUCAAAUAUUGAUUGCCAUGGAUUGGGGAGGGGAGGAAUGUAGCACAAAUAGCCUUCUUCAGUUUUAAGACCAGCUUCUAACUUCUUAGAUCGGGGUUUUACACUUGCUGUUCCCCGAACACUUAACCUUCCUUUCUCUGUAGUCCAGAAGGGAGGGAGAGAAUUAGUGGUCCCCAUCUUGGGAAGCCAGUGGGGCACUCUGUAUAAGCAACAGUGAUAUAACUUCUGAUGAAGAAGGAUGAUUGUCAUUCUUUGCUCCACAAUUAGCCCAGUUUCCAGGAUGAUAUUUUAUUUUAACAUCUUACCAUUGGGAGCAUUGGCUGCUUAGCAUUAUGAUUCCUUCUUUUCUCCUUUUGUAAGACAUUUGCCUAUCCCUGGUUCUUUGCUAUCCUUAAAUGGUUCCCCAGUUCUAAGCAAUGUAUAUGUUAUGUACUUUAUUCAUAGGUCGAACCCUGGAGAACACUGAUAAAGGUUUGAAGAGAUUAAGAGAAAUUAGUGAACAAAUUGGGAUCUCCAGGGAUAAUGUAUUCAUGUUGAUCUAUGAUGGUAAAAACGCUUUUAUCUUUCCUGGGGGAAGAAUAACCCUACUCUGAAACACUGGAGCCUUUCUAGAUUCUGGAACCCCUUUACUCUCUCUGCCUCUCAUUGACUUUUCUUUCAUUUCUUAGAUACAUGUGUGAAGAUGUUGAAGAAGGUGAAUCCCUUUGUAUCACUGUUAUUCAUUGGAAUCGAUAGCAAGAGAGACAUAACUUCUGCAGCCCAAGACGCUGGCACCAUAAUGAUACAACAUAACUGCUUGGCAUUUGAUGGGAAAAGUUUUUUUCUUUUUUCUUCCCUUUGUCCCUAUAUAUGGCAAGGAACAAAGCUUAAGGAGAAAAUGUUCUAACCCUGAAAAUGUUGAGAUGUUCUUAGGAAUAACUUUGAAAAAUGUCUGAGGGUGUACUUUGCUCUUUAGAGGAAUUUAUGGCCAACAAGUAUGGAUUCUGAUAAAAUAGAACAGGUGGAGCAGUGCUUGUAUAUGGAAGAAAGGGAGAGGUGGGAUCUAUUCCAUUUAUAUUUAGGGAAUUUCUGGAGGGUGUACUCUGCUCUUUGAAGGAAUUUAUAACCAACAAGUAUGGAUUCUGAUGAAGUGGAACAGGUGGAGCAGUGCUUGUAUAUGGAAGAAAGGGAGAGGUGGGAUCUAUUCCAUUUAUAUUUAGGGAACUAUGAAACCUUUUUUCCAUCUGCUAUCUUUUACUCAUGGGCAAACCAUCUCACUUUAUUUUUCUCUUCAUUCUAAGCACUGUCUAGGAGGUGUUCUCCCAUAUUCUGCUAGCCUCCUGGGUCCACUGAGGGCAGUGAGAGGAAGCUUUAGAAAAUGGUAGCAUAGGAAAGUUACCUUUUAGACUCCCCUCCUAGGAGGCACAUCAGGUUUUUAUCCUGUUCUGGAGGUAAUAGUUGGUCUCUGUGGCAUUUACUCUCAAUUCUAUUUUUCAGUAGUGAUCCAUGAUGGGGAUUUCUUUAUUUAAGAUCCUCAAAGGAGUCCAACCAAUUUUUAUUUGUCUGCUCUGAACAUAUCAGAAAGUGGGUACUAUUUGUUAUCUGACACCUCUACCUUCUAGUGAACAAUGAAAAGGCUCAGACAUUUUGGUGGUCUAUAUGAACACCAAGAAACAGGGGGUCAGAUAAUUUCCGUCUAAAAACAUCACAGUACAUUAUCUUAAGCCAGUGUUCUAGGGAAGCAGAAGGCAUUUGUGCAAUCUAGCCCCAUUUUAAUGGGUUUAUUCUUACUUCUUCUUAUGUAGGUUGAAUGGGAAGGAGAAUUCAAAGGUUAUUUCUGGGGAGACUAAUUAGUUCUAAUUUAAAUCUUUGGUGUUCUCUUUGGAAAGAGGAUUAUUACCAAAAUGUAAUAAGAAAUUAGUUGUGCCAAUUUCAUAUCACUUAUAGUUUUAUGAAGUUUCCUCAGUGACAUAUACUAUCUUCACCUUGACAAAUAUUUAUUAAUCUCAGCCUCAAGUUGUUUGUACACGCAUAACAUAAUUCCCUCUAUCCUUUCUGUGUUGCAGGAUAAUUUGUAGAAGAGCAUAUUUUGGUUACCAGUGGAGAAAGUUACCUGCCCUGCCUCCAAGGAUUCACAGACUUGAUGGUCCUUUUUCUCCUUCUCCAUCCUUCCAUCCUUCUAUCCUCUCUUUCCAUAUCCCCAACCUCUCUCAUAGGGUUAGUCUCAGUAUUGAAUAAAUUUAUAUUCCAAACUGCUCUCUUAUGUGCU